GGUAACUCCGGUACAGACGAGUGGGGAAGACGGUGAGUGCAAGCGGUAAUCGGAAACUCUGGGCGUAAAGGGGACGGAAGCGGCGUGGUAAGGCCGGGGUGAAAACCCACAGCCCAACUGUGGAACUGGCGUUGAUACUGCCAGGCGUGAGUACCGGAGAGGGUGGCGGAAUUCCAGGUGUAGGAGUGAAAUCCGUAGAUAUCUGGAGGAACACCGGUGGCGAAGGCGGCCACCUGGACGGUAACUGACGCUGAGGUGCGAAAGCGUGGGUAGCAAACAGGAUUAGAUACCCUAGUAGUC
Molecule: ribosomal RNA, 300 nt
Filed under: uncultured Clostridium sp.
Lineage: Bacteria; Bacillati; Bacillota; Clostridia; Eubacteriales; Clostridiaceae
Description: bacterial SSU rRNA
Rfam family: Bacterial small subunit ribosomal RNA
Source: RNAcentral